GGCGCCGUUCCAGGCAACAAGUUGAUUCCAAACUCAACUUCCCGAUUUGAAGGCAAUCCUGGAAGCUUCUCCAGAAAGACAUCUUGGAACUCCUUUACGGUCCUAACCUUAUCCACUGUUAGACCCUCCUCUUCUAACUAACUUACAAAUGCCAAAUAGGCCUCACAGCCCUUCCGAAUCCACUUUUCGGCCCUUAAUGCCAAC
Molecule: long non-coding RNA, 204 nt
Filed under: Gossypium barbadense (sea-island cotton)
Lineage: Eukaryota; Viridiplantae; Streptophyta; Magnoliopsida; Malvales; Malvaceae
Description: long non-coding RNA (GBAR_LNC009104)
Source: RNAcentral